RNAcentral lists this ribosomal RNA (415 nucleotides) under uncultured prokaryote. RNAcentral's name for it is "bacterial SSU rRNA". It matches the Rfam family "Bacterial small subunit ribosomal RNA", at positions 505 to 918 of the family's 1533-position model. The record is from RNAcentral.
GUGUCAGCCGCCGCGGUAAUACGUAGGAGACGAGCGUUAUCCGGAUUUACUGGGCGUAAAGAGGGCGUAGGCGGUCUUUCAAGUCGGAUGUGAAAUCUCCCGGCUUAACUGGGAGGGGUCAUUCGAUACUGUUGGGCUAGAGGGCAGCAGAGGGAGGUGGAAUUCCCGGUGUAGUGGUGAAAUGCGUAGAUAUCGGGAGGAACACCAGUGGCGAAGGCGGCCUCCUGGGCUGUUUCUGACGCUGAGGCCCAAAAGCGUGGGGAGCGAACAGGAUUAGAUACCCUGGUAGUCCACGCUGUAAACUAUGGACACUAGGUAUGGGGAGUAUCGACCCUCUCUGUGCCGAAGCUAACGCUUUAAGUGUCCCGCCUGGGGACUACGGCCGCAAGGCUAAAACUCAAAUGAAUUGACGGGG